This 495-nucleotide ribosomal RNA is filed under the name uncultured bacterium. Its description in RNAcentral is "partial 16S ribosomal RNA". It matches the Rfam family "Bacterial small subunit ribosomal RNA", at positions 28 to 507 of the family's 1533-position model. The record is from RNAcentral.
GACGAACGCUGGCGGCGUGCCUAAUACAUGCAAGUAGAACGCUGAAGGAGGAGCUUGCUUCUCUGGAUGAGUUGCGAACGGGUGAGUAACGCGUAGGUAACCUGCCUGGUAGCGGGGGAUAACUAUUGGAAACGAUAGCUAAUACCGCAUAAUAGUAGAUGUUGCAUGACAUUUGCUUAAAAGGUGCAAUUGCAUCACUACCAGAUGGACCUGCGUUGUAUUAGCUAGUUGGUGGGGUAACGGCUCACCAAGGCGACGAUACAUAGCCGACCUGAGAGGGGGGUCGGCCCACAUGGGACUGAGACACGGCCCAGGCCCCUACGGGGGGCAGCAGUAGGGAAUUUUCGGCAAUGGAGGGAAGUCUGACCGAGCAACGCCGCGUGAGGGAAGAAGGUUUUCGGAUCGUAAAGCUCUGUUGUAAGGGAAGAACGAGUGGGGGAGGGGAAAGUUCACGCUGUGACGGUAUCUUACCAGAAAGGGACGGCUAACUACGUG